GGUCGUGCCUCACCCAAAUUAAAAAUUUUCCUCAACUCAAAGGGUGUUGUAUUUGUUUGGACCUAAAUAAAGGGGGGAGACGCCGACGCCAUUGACAGUGCAUAUUUGUGAGAAGAGAAGAUUGCAGCUGCAAAUUAUGGGGGAGAUGGGAGAAAACGAGGAGUUUUACCUGAGAUACUACGUGGGUCACAAAGGAAAAUUUGGGCACGAGUUCUUAGAAUUCGAGUUUAGGCCAGAUGGGAAGCUCCGUUAUGCUAAUAAUUCCAACUACAAGAACGAUACUAUGAUUCGUAAGGAAGUCUUCCUUACCCCUUCGGUUCUCAAAGAAUGCCGCCGCAUUGUUGCUGAUAGCGAGAUCAUGAAGGAAGAUGAUAACAACUGGCCUGAACCAGAUAGAGUGGGGAGACAGGAGCUUGAGAUUGUGAUGGGAAAUGAACACAUAUCUUUCACUACAUCUAAGAUUGGUUCAUUAAUGGAUGUGACUGUCAGUAACGAUCCUGAGGGACUUCGUAUCUUCUAUUAUCUUGUUCAGGCUUGAAUUUGUGAUGCAUUCUGUGCUUAUUGGAUCUUAAAACCUCUCAAGUAAUUGGAAGCCGCAGGCCAAAGGACCUUAAAAACUGUGGUCUCCAGUCCUAAACUGAGAGGUUCUCCAGGAUUUCGUGUUCUCAGCCAAUUAGUUCCAUUAGCUCCAGGUUUUCCUGUUCCAUCCCUAAUAAUGCAAAUAUUUGCACUGGUGAUUUAUAGUGGCUUUGCUUCAAAUGAGGUUCCGAAGCACAAUGACUUCCUCUAUCAUUUUUUAUUAGUGCUGGUGUCCGGAUCAGCUCUUCCUCCGGUACCUGGUAUCUCUCACCAGCACAUGCAUGAGGCAAAUCUGCUAACCAAGACUAAAAAGAUGAAAAGGAAUCACUUAAGCUUUCUUUAAGCGCAACAUAUUGAAGCUACUUGGAACAUGAAGAGUCUCGAAGGAUUAGUUAUCUUGUGACUAUGUUGUUGGCAAGUGAGUUUGGAUAAAGAAAGCUAUUCUAUCAUCUGAAGCAGAAUAUAGUAAAGUAUGAGCAUCCCCCCCCCCUCUUUUUUGGGUGGGGUGGGGGACUGGGAGGUAGGCAUAGGGGAAAAGUUACUUUUUGGACAUGCAAUUAUAUGUCCUGUGAAUUGCCAAAGAUUCCUGCGAGAUUUUCUCAUUUCAUAUAAUCAAAAUAUAGUUCAUCUCCUGAGCUAAAGGAGGGAAGAAAGACAGGAAAGUAAACUCACUUUGCUCUAAUUAGUUGUUUAUUGAAAACUUGCUGCAAGUCUGCAACAGUUGACGUGUUAUUAUUUUUUAAAGCAAGAGUAUCUUGAUGCAUUUCUUGAAGUUUGUUUCAGCACCAUGUGACUCUGGUUUCUUGGUGCAGGAUCUGAAGUGUUUCGUGUUCUCUCUCAUCUCACUCCAUUUCAAGAUCAAACCCAUUUAACUCGUGUGUGUGGCAUGCUAAAAA
Molecule: RNA transcript, 1475 nt
Organism: Capsicum annuum
Lineage: Eukaryota; Viridiplantae; Streptophyta; Magnoliopsida; Solanales; Solanaceae
Gene name: protein mago nashi homolog
Exons: 4
Source: RefSeq, a predicted model, not a curated record